Molecule: long non-coding RNA, 306 nt
Organism: Alosa sapidissima (American shad)
Lineage: Eukaryota; Metazoa; Chordata; Actinopteri; Clupeiformes; Clupeidae
Exons: 2
Source: RefSeq, a predicted model, not a curated record
CUGCAUACAAUCUGGCGCUCCCUAAACUAGUCCUACACAUCCUGUAAUUAGUCGCUUUUGAACCACCACACUGCUUUCACACUGCUCAAUUCUCAUCAAGAAAGUUUCUGUUCUUGGUGUCUGCUUCGUCCAACAAACUACGACGAAAUGGACGUUUUCCUACCACACCCAAUGUGCCGCUUUACUCUGCUACUGGAUGGUGGAGGAUCAGUGGAGGUCUAGCCUACUAAAUGGAUGGCAGGAAAGCACAGCACACAUGAAUUUCUAAAUGAAGAAGAAUGAAUAAAUGCACUUGCUUUUCAAACU